This 540-nucleotide ribosomal RNA is filed under the name uncultured bacterium. Its description in RNAcentral is "bacterial SSU rRNA". It matches the Rfam family "Bacterial small subunit ribosomal RNA", at positions 355 to 896 of the family's 1533-position model. The record is from RNAcentral.
UGAGGAAUAUUGGUCAAUGGACGGAAGUCUGAACCAGCCAAGUAGCGUGCAGGAUGACGGCCCUAUGGGUUGUAAACUGCUUUUGUAUGGGGAUAAAGUCAAUCACGUGUGAUUGUUUGCAGGUACCAUACGAAUAAGGACCGGCUAAUUCCGUGCCAGCAGCCGCGGUAAUACGGAAGGUUCGGGCGUUAUCCGGAUUUAUUGGGUUUAAAGGGAGCGUAGGCCGGAGAUUAAGUGUGUUGUGAAAUGUAGACGCUCAACGUCUGACUUGCAGCGCAUACUGUUUUCCUUGAGUACGCACAACGUUGGCGGAAUUCGUCGUGUAGCGGUGAAAUGCUUAGAUAUGACGAAGAACUCCGAUUGCGAAGGCAGCUGACGGGAGCGCAACUGACGCUGAAGCUCGAAGGUGCGGGUAUCGAACAGGAUUAGAUACCCUGGUAGUCCGCACAGUAAACGAUGGAUGCCCGCUGUUGGUACCUAGUAUCAGCGGCUAAGCGAAAGCAUUAAGCAUCCCACCUGGGGAGUACGCCGGCAACGGUG